Molecule: ribosomal RNA, 256 nt
Filed under: uncultured bacterium
Lineage: Bacteria
Description: partial 16S ribosomal RNA
Rfam family: Bacterial small subunit ribosomal RNA
Source: RNAcentral
UACGGAGGGUGCGAGCGUUGUCCGGAAUCAUUGGGCGUAAAGGGCGCGUAGGUGGCCACUUCAAGCGUGCGGUGAAAGUCGGGGGCUCAACCCCUGAUCGGCCGUGCGAACUGGGGGGGCUGGAGCACUGUAGAGGCAGGCGGAAUUCCGGGUGUAGCGGUGGAAUGCGUAGAGAUCCGGAAGAACACCGGUGGCGAAGGCGGCCUGCUGGGCAGUUGCUGACACUGAGGCGCGACAGCGUGGGGGAGCAAACAGG